Molecule: long non-coding RNA, 1708 nt
Organism: Amphiprion ocellaris (clown anemonefish)
Lineage: Eukaryota; Metazoa; Chordata; Actinopteri; Pomacentridae
Exons: 4
Source: RefSeq, a predicted model, not a curated record
CAACAGUUAAUAACUGGGUUAAUUAAAUAUCUGCACAGGCUGUCAGCAUUACCUUUGGGGAAAUGCUGCCAAAAAAAAGCUAAUUAAUGGAAUAUUGUUGAUUGUUGGAGCCAUUUCUGAAGAUGUUAGACUCCUGGACUGAUCUGAAGCAGGGAAACUAAUGGCCACAAAGAUUAAGGACAAAAACCUCUAACCGGUAGAUCGCCGCAUUAAUCUGAGCUGCUGCGUGACACCAGAGGAGGAAUCUCAAAGACAAAGUGGGCUGAGCUGUUUCUACAACCUUUAUGUCGUCCCGCCAGGAUGGAGAAACAGGUUUGGCAGAUCUGUGCAGUUUGUAAAGCCACAAAGCAAGUCUUGCCCUCCUCUGGCUGCAGAGCAUUCUGGUGUUUUGAAGGCGUCUUGUGGGCGUACAAAUUGGUCUCAGCAGAUUUCUGUUGAACUGUUGAACGCCGGAGCGAAACAGCAGCUAAAGAAAGACACGCUGAUUCCGAAACACCGACAGCGAAACCUACAGGAGCGGAAACUGAGGACAAACGGCAUCUGCUGUUGAAAGGCGCUGAGCUCCUUCUUUUCCUUCAUGUAACAGCAGCCACACCUCCAUCACAGCAGCAGCAGCAGCGACUCUCCACACCCCGCCUCGUCCUGCAAGCUCAGCACGCCGCCUCGCCCACCCCGAGGCAUGCUGGGAGUUCACACAGCAACACUACAGAGGGGAAGGCAAGCAGGUUCUGUCUGCCGGAGACUCUGCUAAUACAAAGACCAGAACCUGAUCUCAUUCAGUCGGUUAUGAAACGGCGACCUUCACUCCUCGAGCUGCUCCGCUCUCCUGUUUGACCUUCAGCUCUUCAGUGUGAAACACGAAGCUCAAGGUCGUUUCAAAGACAGUCAGGGAUGCAGACAAGAGAACCACUUCACAGAUGACACACUUAUAACCUGACUACAGAUGGAACUUUGCAUCUUUUUCGAUACAAACUGCUUCUUCUGUGCGAUUAAAAUGAGUUCAGUCGAUCAAUCGAGAGCAAGUUAAACGUCAUUUCAUCAUUUUCCAAGCAAAAAUAUCAAACAUUCACUACUUCCAAUUUCUCAAAUAUCACAAUUUAUGUACUUCCUUCACAUAUUGUGAGAAAUUAACCUUUGUAAAACUGUACUGCUAUAGCAUCAGUAGAGUUUUGGUCAGUUUUGGCAUUAACAGCCUGAGUUUCACUGUAAAACUGCACAUUGUUAGAUUUUUUGAGUGAAUUUUUCACGACUGCACACAUAAUUGAUUUUAUUCUUAUAUUUGACUGUUUUAAGCCAAACCCCCCCCCCAAAAAAACACAAUAUUAGGAUUUUCUCUGUUUCUACCAUAAUUAUAUUCCUCAAUAUGUGGAAAUGACUUUAGAUAAUUUAGACAAUCCAGCAAGUAGACAACAUUAAUAUGAAAUACAUGAAAAAUGAACCUUUGUAAAACAAUACUGCCAUAUCCUCUGUAUAUUUUCAGUAAAUUUAGGCUUUAACAACCUGAAUUUUCACUGUAAAACUGCACAUAUAAUUAGAUUUUACUCUCAGAUUUGACUAUUUUUAUUCACAACUGCACACACGAUGGGUUUUAUUCUUGCAUCUACCUGUUUUAAGCCAAAAGAAAUAAAAUUCAAUAUGUGGAUUUUUUUGUGUCUCUAUCAGAAUUAUAUAUCCCUGGAUAUGUAGAAAUGACUUUAAAAUAUAAUUU